ACGAAGGGAGCUAGCGUUGUUCGGAAUUACUGGGCGUAAAGCGCAUGCAGGCGGGUCGUUAAGUCGGGGGUGAAAUCCCAGGGCUCAACCCUGGAACUGCCUUCGAUACUGGCGAUCUUGAGUCCGGGAGAGGUGAGUGGAACUCCGAGUGUAGAGGUGAAAUUCGUAGAUAUUCGGAAGAACACCAGUGGCGAAGGCGGCUCACUGGCCCGGUACUGACGCUGAGAUGCGAAAGCGUGGGGAGCAAACAG
This 251-nucleotide ribosomal RNA is filed under the name uncultured prokaryote. Its description in RNAcentral is "partial 16S rRNA". It matches the Rfam family "Bacterial small subunit ribosomal RNA", at positions 525 to 775 of the family's 1533-position model. The record is from RNAcentral.